CCUACGGGGGGCAGCAGUGGGGAAUAUUGGACAAUGGGGGCAACCCUGAUCCAGCCAUGCCGCGUGUGUGAAGAAGGCCCUCGGGUUGUAAAGCACUUUCAGUGAGGAAGAACGCCUGGUGGUUAAUACCCAUCAGGAAAGACAUCACUCACAGAAGAAGCACCGGCUAACUCCGUGCCAGCAGCCGCGGUAAUACGGAGGGUGCGAGCGUUAAUCGGAAUUACUGGGGCGUAAAGCGCGCGUAGGUGGCUUGAUAAGCCGGUUGUGAAAGCCCCGGGCUCAACCUGGGAACGGCAUCCGGAACUGUCAAGCUAGAGUGCAGGAGAGGAAGGUAGAAUUCCCGGUGUAGCGGUGAAAUGCGUAGAGAUCGGGAGGAAUACCAGUGGCGAAGGCGGCCUUCUGGACUGACACUGACACUGAGGUGCGAAAGCGUGGGUAGCAAACAGGAUUAGAUACCCUGGUAGUC
RNAcentral lists this ribosomal RNA (466 nucleotides) under Vreelandella stevensii. RNAcentral describes it as "partial 16S ribosomal RNA". It matches the Rfam family "Bacterial small subunit ribosomal RNA", at positions 338 to 795 of the family's 1533-position model. The record is from RNAcentral. Lineage: Bacteria; Pseudomonadati; Pseudomonadota; Gammaproteobacteria; Oceanospirillales; Halomonadaceae.